This 512-nucleotide ribosomal RNA is filed under the name uncultured bacterium. RNAcentral describes it as "bacterial SSU rRNA". It matches the Rfam family "Bacterial small subunit ribosomal RNA", at positions 8 to 518 of the family's 1533-position model. The record is from RNAcentral.
AGAAUUGAUCUGGUUCAGGAUGAACGCUAGCGGCAGGCUAACACAUGCAAGUCGAGGGGCAUCGGGAGUAGCAAUACUGCCGGCGACCGGCGCAAGGGUGCGUAACGCGUGAGCAACAUGCCCGUAUCAGGGGGAUAAUCCAUGGAAACGUGGUCUAAUACCCCAUAGUAAUUAUGUAAGGCAUUUUAUAUAAUUUAAAGCUUUGGUGGAUACGGAUUGGCUCGCGUGACAUUAGCUAGAUGGUAAGGUAACGGCUUACCAUGGCUACGAUGUCUAGGGGUUCUGAGAGGAAGGUCCCCCACACUGGAACUGAGACACGGUCCAGACUCCUACGGGAGGCAGCAGUGAGGAAUAUUGGACAAUGGAUGGAAAUCUGAUCCAGCCAUGCCGCGUGCCAGGAAGACGGCCCUAUGGGUUGUAAACUGCUUUUGUAUGGGAGCAAUAAGGGCUACGCGUAGUCCGAUGAGAGUACCAUACGAAUAAGCACCGGCUAACUCCGUGCCAGCCGCUGC